Lathyrus oleraceus (garden pea) is the source of this 2855-nucleotide long non-coding RNA. RefSeq lists it as uncharacterized. The record is from RefSeq and is a predicted model, not a curated record. Lineage: Eukaryota; Viridiplantae; Streptophyta; Magnoliopsida; Fabales; Fabaceae. The transcript is spliced from 3 exons.
UUUCUGCAGCCACACUCCUUUUACAGAAUGAGAUAACAUUUCUCAUUGAUGAUUUCGCAGAUUUCCCCAAAAUAAUAAUAAUAAUAAUAAUAAUCAUAGUAAUGCUAUUCGCACCUGGGUUAUUGCUACUACUACGUUACUCUCUUUCAAUCGCUAUGCAUUUUUUCUUUUCCACCCUUUCCUUGUUUCACAUGUACUAGUACUCUCUCUCUUUCUCUCUCUAACUCUCAAGAGGCAGUGACGAUCGUUUUGGAGUGUGGAUUUCGAUGGAUCGAUUACCGGCGAGAGUAUGCUUGCCGGUGGCGUGGCAUUCGGUGAAAUGGACUAUUUUGUCCUUUUUCUGAUUAAUUGCAGCCAUGCAUGGCGGCGCUUCUCUCCGAUGGCCGAUCUUUAUCUUUUAACCAAAACUGAGCCUCUCAAAGUAGAUGAAACCCUAACGUAAACUGAAGUGAUUAUUUCUUUUAACAUGAAGUUAGAUAGAGUUGUAUGGAAUGAAAGAUGUGAAUUCCUGUUUGGAUUCUAUUCACUCUAUUUUCACUCCCUCAUUCCAUACAUCAUCUAACCAACUUAGUGUUAACUGUUAUUUCUGCUUUCAUUUUCCUUACUAACAGAAAUUAGGGUUCUUGAUAUGCUGAUGUAUGUAUACAUAUUUUUUUUAGUUUAGUUUCUUACUCACAAUUUAGAAUUUAAUAUACUUAGUUCUGGGUGUUAAUUAGCAUUUUCCCCUGAAAUAGUUACCAUUUAUUUUAUUUAUGUUGCUUACAAACUUAAUUUGGUUUCUGAAAAUUUAAUUAGCAUAUUUUUAGUAUGACAUUGAUUACCUUGUAUUGUUGUUAUAUGAGCUUUCAGUUUUAUUUGACUAUGAGUGCCCAACAUGUAAAUUGGGAUUAUGGGAAACUACUGUGAGGUUGCUGCUAGAAACUUUAACAAGGAUAUGGCUAUUAAUGAAUAAAUUUCUAUUUUAUGUAUACAUUUUGUUAAGAUAUGAUUGUGUGGACUAGUGUUGAAUUAUUUAUGCACAAUGGAUUUUAGUUUUUAUCAUGUACAUUGUACUAUUAGGCAGAACUGUUUCUAAUAUUAACAGUAAUUCAAAAUAACUGGAUUGUGGAUCUCAAUUAAGUAUAUAGAGUUUGUAUUUCCUUAUUGAACUAAAUAGUAUAGAUUCUCUCAAUUUCUUUUAUGUGGACCAAAUGUCUUAAAAAUGAAAAGAGGGAAAAAGAGAAACAUUUCUUCUAAAAAAAUGACAUAUUUUCGACAUUAAGUAUUUGUACAUAACUCAAGGACUUAUUCUCACAUAUUUUUAUAAGAGAAAAGGGAUGGUGCAUUAGUUAUGUAAAUUAUUUUUAUUUUAUUAACUAAUGAAAAAUAUGUCUUCCAUCAAAUGAGUCUAUAAAUUAUAAUUUAUAUGAUUUGUUGAGGUUCAGGUUGUUGAAAAAAUGCUGGAGUUAAUAUAGAGAUUGUUAAGGUUUCAUGCUAUUGAAGUUAUUAUUGGGUUAAAUUCUGUUGAGGUUGAAGUCGUUUUUAGAAGCUGCUAUUAUUGAAGAGACUUUGCAUAUUCCAGAAGCUUUGAAUACUGGUAUGACAUACAUAAAUUUGAACUUUAUCCUAGGAGAUGAUUUUGAUUAUUCCACCAAAUACCAUAAAUCACCAACUCCCUCAUCCAAUCCUUUUCCAAAACACAAUUCAUCAUCUGCUGAAAAGUGUACGUGAAAGAGCAGAAGCAUCGUGAAAGUGGAAAAGAGGCAAAAAGGGAAGAGCAAGAGCAGAGGUUGAAGAACGGAAAAGGAUUGAAGCUCAAAGAUUUGCCGGAUUAUCUGAGAUAAAGCGGAGUAGCUAUUGUUGAGGUUUGAAGAAUAAGCGUAGAGUUAUUCUACAGAGUCGAGUCAAAUGCUCUGGUCAUGUGACACCGGGGAUUAUGGGAUUCGAUAGAUAAAUUAUAUUAUUAUUUACAUUGUUAUGAUGACUAUUAUGUUGAGAUGUUUUGUUGAGAUGAUGUUGAACAGUAUUAUGAACGGUUAUAUGGCGAACGUUUAUCGUCGUUUAAGGUUAUGAUGAAUAAGUUGAAUUAAGCUGAAAUUGAAUCCGUAGUUGAGAGUAUUGUGAAAUUCUGAGCGUAUAGCUCUUACGGAGUUAGAAUCGGAGGUCCGGAAGUCCUCCACGGCGGAAAAAUGCGGAAACUCUGCAUUCUGCCUUGUGUUAGCGCAGGAACUGCUGUUUCGUCUGCGUUAACCGGUUAACACUGUUACAAUUUGUGAAUAUGUUGAGUUUUGCCUGCGUUAACCGGUUAACCUAUAGCGUUAACCGGUUAACACUGUUGCGUUUUGCCUGGGGAGGUAUUGUUGUCCUGCGUUAACCGGUUAACGCAUGGUGUUAACCGGUUAACACUGUUCCAGUAUUGAAAAAUGACUAAUUUUUAUGUGGAAAUUGUGAUUUGGCCUAUUGUGGUUGAUUGUGAUGAAUCCAUGUGUUAAGAUGUAAUGUUGUUGUUGUUUUGUUGAGUUGUAUGUCAUGCUAUUAAUGAUAAAGAUAACAUGAUCAUAUGAUGUUGUUGUUGCGAUGUUGAUUAUGAUGCAUGUUUGGUGUGCAUGCAUUCAUGAAAGGCCGAUGCCUAGUGAUGAACGGACUGAGUUCCAAUGAUGUUGUUGACUCCGGGCUUGUUGAGAGGCUUGGUUCCUUAUGGGGAACCCGGAUUCUAUGGUGAUGAAUCUGGGAGUGGUGAUCCUGUAGUGGUCACAAAAUGGGUAUACCGAGUCGUGUUGAGUCAUGCAUGGGUGUGUGCAUUGCAUAUGAUAUGUUGUUUUGUUGAUGUUCAUAAGUAUGUUGAUUAUGAUGAUUAUGAUGAGCUGCGUUGGCAU